UGGGGAAUAUUGCACAAUGGGCGGAAGCCUGAUGCAGCAACGCCGCGUGAGGGACGACGGCCUUCGGGUUGUAAACCUCUUUUAGCAGGGAAGAAGCGUGAGUGACGGUACCUGCAGAAAAAGCACCGGCUAACUACGUGCCAGCAGCCGCGGUAAUACGUAGGGUGCAAGCGUUAUCCGGAAUUAUUGGGCGUAAAGAGCUCGUAGGCGGUUUAUCGCGUCUGCUGUGAAAUCCAGAGGCUCAACCUCGGGCCUGCAGUGGGUACGGGCAGACUAGAGUGCGGUAGGGGGGAGUGGAAUUCCUGGUGUAGCGGUGGAAUGCGCAGAUAUCAGGAGGAACACCGAUGGCGAAGGCAGAUCUCUGGGCCGUAACUGACGCUGAGGAGCGAAAGGGUGGGGAGCAAACA
Molecule: ribosomal RNA, 407 nt
Filed under: uncultured prokaryote
Description: bacterial SSU rRNA
Rfam family: Bacterial small subunit ribosomal RNA
Source: RNAcentral